AACGAACGCUGGCGGCAUGCCUAACACAUGCAAGUCGAACGAGACCUUCGGGUCUAUUGGCGCACGGGUGCGUAACGCGUGGGAACCUGCCCUUAGGUUCGGAAUAACUCCCCGAAAGGGGUGCUAAUACCGGAUAAUGUCUUCGGACCAAAGAUUUAUCGCCUUUGGAUGGGCCCGCGUUGGAUUAGCUAGUUGGUAGGGUAAAAGCCUACCAAGGCGACGAUCCAUAGCUGGUCUGAGAGGAUGAUCAGCCACACUGGGACUGAGACACGGCCCAGACUCCUACGGGAGGCAGCAGUGGGGAAUAUUGGACAAUGGGCGAAAGCCUGAUCCAGCAAUGCCGCGUGAGUGAUGAAGGCCUUAGGGUUGUAAAGCUCUUUUACCCGGGAUGAUAAUGACAGUACCGGGAGAAUAAGCUCUGGCUAACUCCGUG
Molecule: ribosomal RNA, 433 nt
Filed under: uncultured bacterium
Lineage: Bacteria
Description: partial 16S ribosomal RNA
Rfam family: Bacterial small subunit ribosomal RNA
Source: RNAcentral